CGGAGUGGCGGACGGGUGAGGAAUACAUCGGAAUCUACUCUGUCUGGGGGGAUAACGUAGGGAAACUUACGCUAAUACCGCAUACGACCUACGGGUGAAAGCAGGGGAUCUUCGGACCUUGCGCGAUUGAAUGAGCCGAUGUCGGAUUAGCUAGUUGGCGGGGUAAAGGCCCACCAAGGCGACGAUCCGUAGCUGGUCUGAGAGGAUGAUCAGCCACACUGGAACUGAGACACGGUCCAGACUCCUACGGGAGGCAGCAGGU
Molecule: ribosomal RNA, 262 nt
Filed under: uncultured Stenotrophomonas sp.
Lineage: Bacteria; Pseudomonadati; Pseudomonadota; Gammaproteobacteria; Lysobacterales; Lysobacteraceae
Description: partial 16S ribosomal RNA
Rfam family: Bacterial small subunit ribosomal RNA
Source: RNAcentral